RNAcentral lists this ribosomal RNA (433 nucleotides) under uncultured bacterium. Its description in RNAcentral is "partial 16S ribosomal RNA". It matches the Rfam family "Bacterial small subunit ribosomal RNA", at positions 29 to 507 of the family's 1533-position model. The record is from RNAcentral.
AACGAACGCUGGCGGCAUGCCUAACACAUGCAAGUCGAACGAUGCCUUCGGGCAUAGUUGCGCACGCGUGCGUAACGCGUGGGAAUCUGCCUUUCGGUUCGGAAUAACUCAGGGUAACUUGCGCUAAUACCGGAUAACGUCGCAAGACCAAAGAUUUAUCACCGAAAGAUGAGCCCGCGUAGGAUUAGCUAGUUGGUGAGGUAAAGGCUCACCAAGGCGACGCUCCUUAGCUGGUCUGAGAGGAUGAUCAGCCACACCGGGACUGAGACGCGGCCCAGAAUCCUACAGAAGGCAGCAGAGGGGAAUAUAGCACAAUGGGCGAAAGCCUGAACCAGCAAUGCCGCGAAAGUGAUGAAGGCCGUAGAGUUGUGAAGCUCUUUUACCCGGGAAGAUAAUGACGGUACCGGGAGAAUAAGCCCCGGCUAACUCCGUG